AACCUAGUAGGCUAAUGUUAAGUGUCGAUCUUCCUCAUCAACCCUGAUGACUACUGUCAUUGCACUGAUUGUGAAUGAUUGAGAAACGCACUUUGAAUCGUCUGUGUGCCUUGCACAUGCUGGUGAAGACUGUGAGCUAGGGUGACCAGAUAAGAAGUCUCUCCGUGGCUGCAUGCAGCCAUACUCCCCGUGUCCUCCACUGCAACUUCAACCACCAUACUAGUACACAAAAAGGUAAAACAGCAUGCACGCCUGUUACUUUGUGGCUAUAACGUUGCUGUUGACACGGUGUCCACGAUAACCUGUAGUGCCUGUUGCCAUCUGUGGGCUACACCACAAGAAUGUUUCACAAUGAUCAAUAGGCUAUUAUGCUUUAUGAGGCAAUACUCAGGUUUAGUCUAAUUUUCGGGACUAAUAGGAUAUGAUUAGGGACAACUGCUCGUAUUUCGGCUGUCUCGAUUUUUUUCAGGACAUCUUGUCCCCCAUACUGUGAGAUACUGAAAACUCGAGAAAAAGCUCAUCUUGUGUUGAUGUUUUUCUUUGUAUAGCUUUCAGCGGAGACAUUGUGCAUUGAAGCAUUAUUCCUCUUAUCAUUUCCUUAAAGUAUUGCCUGUAACAGCAAUUUUGUUCAUACUUACAAAAUGCAGGUUUGUAAAUGCUAAAUUAAUUUAUUCCCAAGGUAAUUGGCGACCUAUAUUUACUAUAGGCUUUAUCUACUAAGCCUAUAUUUUUUAGUUUAUUUUGAGUAUCUACAUGGAUACACAAGAAAUCCGCCCUAUCUUGUUGACUCAUCUGUUGUUGAUCCAAAACCUGCACAGGGCUAUUUUUGUUGCGCGCUUGCGUCGUACUUACGGCUGCGGCAAGGCUCAGCAUGCACAGUUCAACGUGAUCCCAACACGGUGACGUCGCUGGCUCAGCCUGCUCUCUCGGAAGGCACGCGGCCGACGGGGUGGUUUCUGAGCGGCUGUAAACAGUGCAGAUGUAGGGCACAUGCCAGGGAGUAAAUAACAAAACACUCUUUAAGGGGUGCAGAUUUA
Long non-coding RNA from Micropterus salmoides (largemouth bass), 1037 nucleotides. RefSeq lists it as uncharacterized. The record is from RefSeq and is a predicted model, not a curated record. The transcript has 3 exons. NCBI's taxonomy places the organism in Eukaryota, Metazoa, Chordata, Actinopteri, Centrarchiformes, Centrarchidae.